Molecule: long non-coding RNA, 334 nt
Organism: Oxyura jamaicensis (ruddy duck)
Lineage: Eukaryota; Metazoa; Chordata; Aves; Anseriformes; Anatidae
Exons: 2
Source: RefSeq, a predicted model, not a curated record
AGAUUGGGCAGGCUUUUGUAUCAUACUUUAUUACCUAGUGAAAUGUAAUUUGAUCCAUUUGCAAGAGGAAGAACCAGAGAUGCUUGUUUCAGAAUUCAAUUGUUCCAGAAAGAUAAGAAAGAUGAGGACACACAUCAACUGUCUUUGCUUGAGAGUUAUUUUACAUGCCCUACCUCGAGAAAUGGAGUGUGCUGGUGAACUGACCUGCUGGGGUGUUUCUGAAUGUGGUCUCUAUCAUAUGACUGGCUGACUAUUAACCUAAGGGAGAUCGGGAUUAAAUCUCAAUCUGCUAACUUCUGUCAUUUAAGUAAAAUAAAUAAAUAAAUAAAUAAAU